RNAcentral lists this ribosomal RNA (486 nucleotides) under uncultured bacterium. RNAcentral's name for it is "partial 16S ribosomal RNA". It matches the Rfam family "Bacterial small subunit ribosomal RNA", at positions 28 to 507 of the family's 1533-position model. The record is from RNAcentral.
GACGAACGCUGGCGGCGUGCUUAACACAUGCAAGUCGAACGCUGAAGACCUGGCUUUUGUUGGGUUGGAUGAGUGGCGAACGGGUGAGUAACACGUGAGUAACCUGCCCUCUUCUUUGGGAUAACGCCCGGAAACGGGUGCUAAUACUGGAUAUUCACUGGCCUUCGCAUGGGGGUUGGUGGAAAGGUUUGUUCUGGUGGGGGAUGGGCUCGCGGCCUAUCAGCUUGUUGGUGGGGUGAUGGCCUACCAAGGCUUUGACGGGUAGCCGGCCUGAGAGGGUGACCGGUCACAUUGGGACUGAGAUACGGCCCAGACUCCUACGUGAGGCAGCAGUGGGGAAUAUUGCACAAUGGGCGAAAGCCUGAUGCAGCGACGCCGCGUGAGGGAUGGAGGCCUUCGGGUUGUAAACCUCUUUCGCUCAUGGUCAAGCCGCAACUGUGGGUUGUGGUGAGGGUAGUGGGUAAAGAAGCGCCGGCUAACUACGUG